Molecule: long non-coding RNA, 390 nt
Organism: Nilaparvata lugens (brown planthopper)
Lineage: Eukaryota; Metazoa; Arthropoda; Insecta; Hemiptera; Delphacidae
Exons: 3
Source: RefSeq, a predicted model, not a curated record
UAGCCUCUCUCUUAUCCGGACUCAUCGGGACUGAGGCCAGUCCGGAUAACGUUUUUUCCGGUUAAACCGACGUUCCCUAAAAGUUGUUAAAUUGGUACGCAUAUUUUGUAGUUUAUAAGCCAAUAAUGACUUUUACGUAAAAAUAAUAAAACUAGAUGCUUUAUUAUGAUAUCUUUUUUAAGUCAGGAAUCUCAGCUCAAUCUUUCCCACGAGAAAAGUUGUAACAGCAGUUUCCAUUUCCUGCCAAUCCAGUCCGGUUGAACCGAUGUGCUGAUAAUUAUUUUCCGGUUAAAGAGAUGUCACUUCCGUGGAGUGUAGUCCGGUUAAACCGAUGUCCGGUUAAAAGGUGUCCGGUUAAGAGAGAGGCUACUGUAUUUAGAUUUAUUUAUU